GCGAAACCCAUCAGAUGAAAUCAAGAGAACAACAGGAUGUUUGAGUUUUUGAAGUGGACGUGAGCGUGUUACAUGCGAAAUAGAGGAGAUAGAAGAAUGUGAAAAGAAGAGGAAAGCAAAGGUAACAGCAGUAGAUAGAGAUACACAAGUGACGAGAAUCAAAGCUGUCAAAAUUACCGAAUUGAAAGGGGUUUUUGUAGGAGACGAUGGGGAACAGUCAUCUGUGUCAAAAGAAAGCAAUGAAGUGGAGGAAAUUGGUGGGUCUUCAUCCUCUUUUGUGAGUACAGCCAUAGGCUUGAAGGACACUGAAUUGGAAUUCAUCAUCGACAAAAAAACGUAAUAGUAUCGAAAAUUGAAAAGGUGUAGCCUGCUGCUAUCAAGAAUGAGUUUACCUGAAAUCGAAUGAAAAGGCUCUCUCUUCCCCUGAUUCCUGAAGUUGCUUUGUGUGAAGUCACUACAGGAAAAUGGAGUGUGAAUGAAGGAUAAUGGAAUGAUGAAUUAGUUGAAAAGCCGGUUUCAACAAACUCAGAUGCUGGACUUCUAAGGAAGAAGAUUAGGUUCGUAGUUUACAUAAAU
This 576-nucleotide unclassified non-coding RNA is filed under the name Hevea brasiliensis (rubber tree). The record is from RNAcentral. Lineage: Eukaryota; Viridiplantae; Streptophyta; Magnoliopsida; Malpighiales; Euphorbiaceae.